GUUAUAUGGUCAAGCGAAUAAGCGCACACGGUGGAUGCCUAGGCGGUCAGAGGCGAUGAAGGACGUGGUAGCCUGCGAAAAGUGUCGGGGAGCUGGCAACAAGCUUUGAUCCGGCAAUAUCCGAAUGGGGAAACCCACUGCUUCGGCAGUAUCUUGCAGUGAAUUCAUAGCUGCUUGAAGCGAACCCGGUGAACUGAAAUAUCUAAGUAACCGGAGGAAAAGAAAUCAACCGAGAUUCCCUGAGUAGUGACGAGCGAACGGGGAACAGCCCUUAAGCUGGAAUGGCUUUAGAAAAACAAUCUGGAAAGAUUGGCCAUAGAAGGUGAUAGCCCUGUAUUUAAAAGGGCCACUCCAGUGAAGACGAGUAGGGCGGGGCACGUGAAACCCUGUCUGAAUAUGGGGGGACCAUCCUCCAAGGCUAAAUACUCCUGACCGACCGAUAGUGAACCAGUACCGUGAGGGAAAGGCGAAAAGAACCCCGGAGAGGGGAGUGAAAUAGAUCCUGAAACCGUGUGCGUACAAGCAGUAGGAGCUCGCAAGAGUGACUGCGUACCUUUUGUAUAAUGGGUCAGCGACUUACUGUUCGUGGCAAGCUUAACCGUAUAGGGGAGGCGAAGGGAAACCGAGUCUGAUAAGGGCGCAUAGUCGCGGGCAGUAGACCCGAAACCGGGUGAUCUAGUCAUGGCCAGGGUGAAGGUGCCGUAACAGGUACUGGAGGCCCGAACCCACGUCUGUUGCAAAAGACGGGGAUGAGCUGUGAUUAGGAGUGAAAAGCUAAUCGAACCCGGAGAUAGCUGGUUCUCCUCGAAAGCUAUUUAGGUAGCGCCUCGGACGAAUACUACUGGGGGUAGAGCACUGUUAUGGCUAGGGGGUCAUCGCGACUUACCAAACCAUUGCAAACUCCGAAUACCAGUACGUACUAUCCGGGAGACACACGGCGGGUGCUAACGUCCGUCGUGAAAAGGGAAACAACCCAGACCCACAGCUAAGGUCCCAAAUUCACUGCUAAGUGGAAAACGAUGUGGAAAGGCAUAGACAGCCAGGAGGUUGGCUUAGAAGCAGCCACCCUUUAAAGAAAGCGUAAUAGCUCACUGGUCGAGUCGGUCUGCGCGGAAGAUUUAACGGGGCUAAGCAGUGAACCGAAGCUUGGGGUGCGUAAAACUUCGGUUUUAUGCGCGGUAGAGGAGCGUUCCGUAAGCCUGCGAAGGUGGAUUGAGAAGUCUGCUGGAGGUAUCGGAAGUGCGAAUGCUGACAUGAGUAACGAUAAUGCGGGUGAAAAGCCCGCACGCCGAAAGCCCAAGGUUUCCUUGCGCAACGUUAAUCGACGCAGGGUUAGUCGGUCCCUAAGGCGAGGGCGAAAGCCGUAGUCGAUGGGAAGCAGGUUAAUAUUCCUGCACCUCGCGUGAGUGCGAUGGAGGGACGGAGAAGGUUAGGUGUACCGGGCGUUGGUUGUCCCGGGGAAAGGCGGUAGGUUUGGAUCUUUGGCAAAUCCGGGAUCCUUUAAGACCGAGCACCGAGACGAGCCUUUAUGGCGAAGUCACUGAUACCACGCUUCCAGGAAAAGCUCCUAAGCUUCAGCUCACGAAGACCGUACCGUAAACCGACACAGGUGGGUAGGAUGAGAAUUCUCAGGCGCUUGAGAGAACUCGGGUGAAGGAACUAGGCAACAUGGCACCGUAACUUCGGGAGAAGGUGCACCCUUUUUGGUGGCUCAUGCGAGCUAUAGCUGAAGAGGGUCGCAGAAACCAGGCCGCUGCGACUGUUUAUCAAAAACACAGCACUCUGCAAACACGAAAGUGGACGUAUAGGGUGUGACGCCUGCCCGGUGCUGGAAGGUUAAUUGAUGGGGUCAGCCGCAAGGCGAAGCUCUUGAUCGAAGCCCCAGUAAACGGCGGCCGUAACUAUAACGGUCCUAAGGUAGCGAAAUUCCUUGUCGGGUAAGUUCCGACCUGCACGAAUGGCGUAACGACAGCGGCGCUGUCUCCACCCGAGACUCAGUGAAAUUGAAAUCGCUGUGAAGAUGCAGCGUUCCCGUGGCAAGACGGAAAGACCCCGUGAACCUUUACUAUAGCUUUACACUGAACGUUGAGUUCGUCUGUGUAGGAUAGGUGGGAGGCUAUGAAACUGUGGCGCUAGCUGCAGUGGAGCCAACCUUGAAAUACCACCCUGUCGUGCUUGACGUUCUAACCUAGAUCCGUUAUCCGGAUCAGGGACCGUGUAUGGUGGGUAGUUUGACUGGGGCGGUCUCCUCCUAAAGAGUAACGGAGGAGCACGAAGGUACGCUCAGCGCGGUCGGACAUCGCGCACUGUGUGCAAAGGCAUAAGCGUGCUUGACUGCAAGAUCGACGGAUCAAGCAGGUACGAAAGUAGGUCUUAGUGAUCCGGUGGUUCUGUAUGGAAGGGCCAUCGCUCAACGGAUAAAAGGUACUCCGGGGAUAACAGGCUGAUACCGCCCAAGAGUUCAUAUCGACGGCGGUGUUUGGCACCUCGAUGUCGGCUCAUCACAUCCUGGGGCUGUAGUCGGUCCCAAGGGUAUGGCUGUUCGCCAUUUAAAGUGGUACGCGAGCUGGGUUCAGAACGUCGUGAGACAGUUCGGUCCCUAUCUGCCAUGGGCGUUGGAAGUUUGAGAGGGGCUGCUCCUAGUACGAGAGGACCGGAGUGGACGAACCUCUGGUGUUCCGGUUGUCACGCCAGUGGCAUUGCCGGGUAGCUAUGUUCGGAAGCGAUAACCGCUGAAAGCAUCUAAGCGGGAAGCGCGCCUCAAGAUGAGACUUCCCGGGGCACAAGCCCCCUAAAGGAACCAUAUAGACUAUGUGGUUGAUAGGUCAGGUGUGUAAGUACAGCAAUGUAUUGAGCUAACUGAUACUAAUGAUCCGUGCGGCUUGACCAUAUAACCUCA
Molecule: ribosomal RNA, 2899 nt
Filed under: Xanthomonas campestris
Lineage: Bacteria; Pseudomonadati; Pseudomonadota; Gammaproteobacteria; Lysobacterales; Lysobacteraceae
Also listed under: 3 other names
Description: bacterial LSU rRNA
Rfam family: Bacterial large subunit ribosomal RNA
Source: RNAcentral